GUCCAGAUCCUCCUCGAAGCCUUCUCCCCCGCCGCGACUCUUAAAGAAUGUGCCCACACAGUCCACCGUUCGUGCAACGGCUGGGCCACGUCACCAGUUUGCUGGAACACCACGCGGUGAAUCAGCAGUCCCCCGUCGGUGUUCACCUCCACGGGCGAUGCACAGAUUAGCUAGUGACGGUCAAGUGACCAUGUGUCAUGUUGAUCAAGAUAUAACCGGUCUCCAUCGUAGUGAUGGUAGAGCAAACGUUCCGUAGGUGAACCUGCGGAAGGAUCAUUAUCGAGUUAGGGUCCACUGGGGCCCCAUCUCCAACCCGUGUCUACCCUACCUGUUGCUUCGGCGGGCCCGUCCUCAACUGGACCGCCGGGGACUUUGGUCCCUGGCCCGCGCCCGUCAGUAGCCCCCUUCAACCCCUUGUAAUGAUGUUGUCUGAGCCUCUGAUAAUGAGCACAAAAACUUUCAACAACGGAUCUCUUGGUUCUG
This 483-nucleotide unclassified non-coding RNA is filed under the name rhizosphere metagenome. Its description in RNAcentral is "partial ribosomal RNA internal transcribed spacer region". The record is from RNAcentral.